GCCCGGUGGAAGACGGGGCGUGGUGUGGGUGUGACCCAGACGGGUCUGUCUCCCUCCCAGCUCCCCCACCCUCCGCUUCUGGUCCGCCCUUCUAUGAGCAGCUCUCCCCCACGACACCCCUGUGCUUCGCAGCCAGCCGACUACAGACUGAAACGCGAGUCAAAGUCAACGUCUCUCCUUGAGGUUGUGGGAGUUGGGUAUUUUGCCCUACCCAUGAGUCCCGUGACCAAGACAGGCAGAAAUCGGCAGGGCCAAAGUCGGGUCUCAGAGAGGCUUCCUUGGUGGUUGGAGAAGGGCUGGCAUGAACGCAAGCCAAGCUGAAGAGCAAGAGGCCUCCACUCUCCCAGCGAGGCCAGACCUGGCCGCAGCUUGAAGGGCGCCCCUAAAAGCCAGGUGGCCCAACGUCCAUCGUCUGGGAAUCAGUCACGGGUGUGGGCAGGCGCCCAGGAAACAUUCGCCCAACAGGUGCUUGCUGUCUGCUCUGCGGCUUUGGUUCCUGUGCCUUCCAUCACCUGGAGUGUUCUUCCUUUUGCUCCAGUCCCAUCAGUCCCUAAAGCCUUGAGGAAUUUUGGCAGAAAUUAUUAACACGUGGGAUGAGACCCAUGAAUCUUGAGGGGCUUUUCCUUGGCCCUGUCGAGUUCCCCUGCCCACACACCAGGCCUCGGUGCAGCAGGAGGGAGAACCACGUGUGGUAAACUCCGUGUUGCCUCUGAAAAAAGCAGCUCAUCCUGAGAGGGAAAAUUGAAUCCCAGCGCUUGGAAUAAAGUUAAAGGCCCUUUGCCCAGCCGUCCUCACCUGCAUCCUCCCCAGAGGUCGGAGCUCCCUCGGGAAGAUGUGUGUCCCUCUGUCCUUUCUACUCGUCACCAUGCAUGCCACGUGCCGUGUCCUAAGAAGUGUGGGUCUGCGUGAAGGAAAGUCACCAGGUUUCUCACAGCACUCAGCCUGUUUCCC
Molecule: long non-coding RNA, 951 nt
Filed under: Heterocephalus glaber (naked mole-rat)
Lineage: Eukaryota; Metazoa; Chordata; Mammalia; Rodentia; Bathyergidae
Description: lncRNA (ENSHGLG00000046523.1)
Source: RNAcentral